UUGAUAUGAUUAAUUCAAUAAUAAGUAACUAAAACAAGGAUAGGAAGUUAGAACAAGCGUUUUGCUUUAAAAUACUGUUUAACAAUAAGCCGCCUAUAGAACAAGCGACCUGCACAAUAAGUGAUUUUUUGACCUUUUUUUGUGGUCCAAAAUAAGUAAUUUUUUCAUAUUUCAAGAAUGAAUUGGUCAUUUUUUUCUUAAUAUUGCCCUUAGAGUAAUUAGUGUUGGAGUAUGUG
This 236-nucleotide long non-coding RNA is filed under the name Nicotiana benthamiana. Its description in RNAcentral is "long non-coding RNA (NBEN_LNC041514)". The record is from RNAcentral. Lineage: Eukaryota; Viridiplantae; Streptophyta; Magnoliopsida; Solanales; Solanaceae.